GGCGCACGGGUGAGUAGCGCGUGGGAACCUGCCCUGUUGUGGGGGAUAACCGAGGGAAACUUCGGCUAAUACCGCAUGCGCCCGCGGAGUUGAUCUGCGGGGAAAGAUUUAUCGCAGCAGGAGGGGCCCGCGUCGGAUUAGCUGGUUGGCGGGGUAACGGCCCACCAAGGCGAUGAUCCGUAGCUGGUCUGAGAGGAUGAUCAGCCACACUGGGACUGAGACACGGUCCAGACUCAUACGGGAGGCAGCAGUGGGGAAUAUUGGACAAUGGGCGCAAGCCUGAUCCAGCAAUGCCGCGUGAGUGAUGAAGGCCUUCGGGUUGUAAAGCUCUUUCGCCCGCGACGAUGAUGACGGUAGCGGGAGAAGAAGCCCCGGCUAACUUCGUGCCAGCCGCCGCGG
RNAcentral lists this ribosomal RNA (399 nucleotides) under uncultured bacterium. RNAcentral's name for it is "bacterial SSU rRNA". It matches the Rfam family "Bacterial small subunit ribosomal RNA", at positions 97 to 520 of the family's 1533-position model. The record is from RNAcentral.